CCGUGCUAGGUGGGGAGGUAGCGGUGCCCUGUAACCCACAAUCCGCUAUAGUGGGGCUGAAUUCCCGUUCGAGGCCAGGUCAUUGUAUGGCCUGCCGCAAGGGAGCAGUGUUGACGCUUGGGUCCUGCGCAAUAGAAACUCGCGAACCCUGUCAGGUCCGGAAGGAAGCAGCAGUAAGCGAACCCUUCUAUGUGACGCAGGAUCGCCUGGGCCGAGCUGCAAACUUGCGUAACGCAUAUGAUGGCCUGGUCGACAACGGGUGCACGG
Molecule: signal recognition particle RNA, 267 nt
Filed under: Allobacillus halotolerans
Lineage: Bacteria; Bacillati; Bacillota; Bacilli; Caryophanales; Bacillaceae
Also listed under: 2 other names
Description: signal recognition particle sRNA large type
Rfam family: Bacterial large signal recognition particle RNA
About the family: The signal recognition particle (SRP) is a universally conserved ribonucleoprotein involved in the co-translational targeting of proteins to membranes. Archaeal SRP consists of a 7S RNA and homologues of the eukaryotic SRP19 and SRP54 proteins.
Source: RNAcentral